CCCUAGCCACAGCUCAUCCAAGCGCUUUUUAAGGCACAAUGGUUCGGGCCUCCUCGAAAUGUUUUUAGGAACAGCGUCGUGCUUAUCGUCAUGGGUGUAUAGCACUGGAAGGACNAGGGGCCCCACAAGGUUACCGAACCCUACCAAACUCGGAAUUCCAUGACUUUACUACACGGCAGUGAGUCGGCGGGGGCUAAGCUCCGUCGUCGAGAGGGAAACAACCCAGACCUUCAGCUAAGGUCCCCAAGAAUAUACUAAGUGGUUAAGGAAGUAGAGUCUCACAGACAACCAGGAUGUUGGCUUAGAAGCAGCCAUUCAUUGAAAGAGUGCGUAACAGCUCACUGGUCAAGCGACUCCGCGCCGAAAAUGUAUCGGGGCUUAAGUAUAUCACCGAAGCUAAGGACCGGAUCCUUUUUGGAUCUGGUGGUAGAGGAGCGUCGCCAUCCGCAUUGAAGGUCGACCGACAAGGACGACUGGAGCGUUGGCGAGCGAGUAUGCUGACAUCAGUAACGAUAAAAACAGGUGAAAAAACCUGUUCGCCGAAAAUCCAAGGUUUCCUGGGCAAGGCUAAUCCCCCCAGGGUGAGUCGGAUCCUAAGGCGAGGCCGAAAGGCGUAGUCGAUGGUAAGCUGGUAAACAUUCCAGCACCACAGUAUCAAUGUUUGAGCGAAGGAGWGWCGCAGGAUGCUAGGCCAUCCAGGGCGACGGAUAUCCCUGGCCCGACYCGUAGGCUGAGAUGUAGGAKAMWACGCAUCUCGUUAAGGCUGAGGGGAAGGGGGAAGGCGGACUUCGGUCCAACCAACGGGCUUAUGCACGACUGCCAAGAAAAGCUUCGUUUCGCGAGUUGAUAUUGUGUCCGUACCGUAAACCGCCACAGGUGGAUUGGAUGAGUAAUCCUAGGCGCUCGAGAUAACUCUGGAGAGGGAACUCGGCAAAAUUGCCCCGUAUCUUCGGAAUAAGGGGCGCCGUUUCCGGUGAUAAGAUUUACUCUUUGAGCUGGCGACGGUCACAGCAAAGAGGUUCAGGCGACUGUUUAUCAAAAACAUAGCACUAUGCGAAGUCGCAAGACGCUGUAUAUAGUGUGACUCCUGCCCGGUGCCGGAAGGUUAAGAGGAGGUGUUAGCUUCGGCGAAGCACUGAAUUGAAGCCCCGGUAAACGGCGGCCGUAACUAUAACGGUCCUAAGGUAGCGAAAUUCCUUGUCGGGUAAGUUCCGACCUGCAUGAAUGGAGUAACGAUCUGAACGCUGUCCCCUCCAGGGACUCGGUGAAGUUGAGGUUCCAGUGAAGACGCUGGAUACCCGCAGUAAGACGGAAAGACCCCGUGCACCUUUACUACAGCUUAGUAGUGAUGCUUGGUUCAACGUGUGUAGCAUAGGCGGGAGACUUUGAAGUCAGGGCGCCAGCCUUGGUGGAGUCUCAGGUGAAAUACCGCCCUCGUUGUAUCGUGCAUCUAACCUGGAGGAGUUAUCCUCCUCAGGGACACUGCUUGGUGGGUAGUUUGACUGGGGCGGUCGCCUCCUAAAUUGUAACGGAGGCGCACAAAGGUCCACUCAGCGUGGUUGGCAAUCACGCGACGAGGGCAAACCUAUAAGUGGGCUUGACUGCGAGACUGACAAGUCGAGCAGGGACGAAAGUCGGUGUUAGUGACCCUGCAGUC
RNAcentral lists this ribosomal RNA (1657 nucleotides) under Ophryotrocha diadema. Its description in RNAcentral is "bacterial LSU rRNA". The record is from RNAcentral. Lineage: Eukaryota; Metazoa; Annelida; Polychaeta; Eunicida; Dorvilleidae.